GGGGAAUAUUGCACAAUGGGCGCAAGCCUGAUGCAGCCAUGCCGCGUGUGUGAAGAAAGGCCUUCGGGUUGUAAAGCACUUUCAGCGAGGAGGAAGGGUAGUGUGUUAAUAGCACAUUGCAUUGACGUUACUCGCAGAAGAAGCACCGGCUAACUCCGUGCCAGCAGCCGCGGUAAUACGGAGGGUGCAAGCGUUAAUCGGAAUUACUGGGCGUAAAGCGCACGCAGGCGGUUUGUUAAGUCAGAUGUGAAAUCCCCGCGCUUAACGUGGGAACUGCAUUUGAAACUGGCAAGCUAGAGUCUUGUAGAGGGGGGUAGAAUUCCAGGUGUAGCGGUGAAAUGCGUAGAGAUCUGGAGGAAUACCGGUGGCGAAGGCGGCCCCCCUGGACAAAGACUGACGCUCAGGUGCGAAAG
Molecule: ribosomal RNA, 413 nt
Filed under: uncultured bacterium
Lineage: Bacteria
Description: partial 16S ribosomal RNA
Rfam family: Bacterial small subunit ribosomal RNA
Source: RNAcentral